Molecule: ribosomal RNA, 384 nt
Filed under: uncultured bacterium
Lineage: Bacteria
Description: bacterial SSU rRNA
Rfam family: Bacterial small subunit ribosomal RNA
Source: RNAcentral
AUUGAACGCUGGCGGCAUGCCUUACACAUGCAAGUCGAACGGCAGCGCGGGAGCAAUCCUGGCGGCGAGUGGCGAACGGGUGAGUAACAUAUCGGAACGUGCCCUGGAGUGGGGGAUAACUAGUCGAAAGAUUAGCUAAUACCGCAUACGAUCUACGGAUGAAAGUGGGGGAUCGCAAGACCUCAUGCUCGUGGAGCGGCCGAUAUCUGAUUAGCAGUUGGUAGGGUAAAAGCCUACCAAGGCGACGAUCAGUAGCUGGUCUGAGAGGACGACCAGCCACACUGGGACUGAGACACGGCCCAGACUCCUACGGGAGGCAGCAGGUGGGAAUUUUGGACAAUGGCGCCAAGCCUGAUCCAGCCAUGCCGCGUGCGGGAAGAAGGA